RNAcentral lists this ribosomal RNA (520 nucleotides) under uncultured Glomus. Its description in RNAcentral is "SSU rRNA". It matches the Rfam family "Eukaryotic small subunit ribosomal RNA", at positions 569 to 1093 of the family's 1831-position model. Lineage: Eukaryota; Fungi; Glomeromycota; Glomeromycetes; Glomerales; Glomeraceae. The record is from RNAcentral.
CGCAGCCGCGGUAAUUCCAGCUCCAAUAGCGUAUAUUAAAGUUGUUGCAGUUAAAAAGCUCGUAGUUGAAUUUCGGGACCAGUAUGUUGGUCGUGCUUCGGUACGUACUGUCAUUACUGGUUUCUACCUUCUGAAGAACCUUGAUGUCAUUAAUUUGGUGUCUUGGGGAAUCAGGACUGUUACUUUGAAAAAAUUAGAGUGUUUAAAGCAAGCAUACGCUUGAAUACAUUAGCAUGGGAUAAUGAAAUAGGACGUUUGAUUCUAUUUUGUUGGUUUCUAGGAUCGACGUAAUGAUUAAUAGGGAUAGUUGGGGGCAUUAGUAUUCAAUUGUCAGAGGUGAAAUUCUUGGAUUUAUUGAAGACUAACUACUGCGAAAGCAUUUGCCAAGGAUGUUUUCAUUAAUCAAGAACGAAAGUUAGGGGAUCGAAGACGAUCAGAUACCGUCGUAGUCUUAACCAUAAACUAUGCCGACUAGGGAUCGGAUGAUGUUAUUUUUAAUGACUCAUUCGGCGCCUUACGG